RNAcentral lists this ribosomal RNA (441 nucleotides) under uncultured bacterium. Its description in RNAcentral is "partial 16S ribosomal RNA". It matches the Rfam family "Bacterial small subunit ribosomal RNA", at positions 339 to 795 of the family's 1533-position model. The record is from RNAcentral.
CUACGGGACGCAGCAGUGGGGGAUAUUGCACAAUGGAGGAAACUCUGAUGCAGCAACGCCGCGUGAGGGAAGAAGGUCUUCGGAUUGUAAACCUUUGUUUUUGGUGACGAAUAAAUGACGGUAGCCAAAGAGGAAGCCACGGCUAACUACGUGCCAGCAGCCGCGGUAAUACGUAGGUGGCAAGCGUUGUCCGGAUUUACUGGGUGUAAAGGGAGCGCAGGCGGGACAGCAAGUUGGAUGUGAAAUACCGGAGCUUAACUCCGGAGCUGCAUCCAAAACUGUUGUUCUUGAGUGAAGUAGAGGUUGGCGGAAUUCCGAGUGUAGCGGUGAAAUGCGUAGAUAUUCGGAGGAACACCAGUGGCGAAGGCGGCCAACUGGGCUUUAACUGACGCUGAGGCUCGAAAGCAUGGGGAGCAAACAGGAUUAGAUACCCCGGUAGUC